Molecule: transfer RNA, 70 nt
Filed under: chicken gut metagenome
Rfam family: tRNA
About the family: Transfer RNA (tRNA) molecules are approximately 80 nucleotides in length. Their secondary structure includes four short double-helical elements and three loops (D, anti-codon, and T loops).
Source: RNAcentral
GCGCUGUAGCUCAGUUGGCUAGAGCAUUCGGUUCAUACCCGAAGGGUCGUGGGUUCAAAUCCCUCCGGCG